AAACAAUAUAAUUGAUCAUUUUGCCUAGAUAAUCCAAUUAUUAAGUAAUGAAUUAGUAUCUAAUUAGAGACCCGAAGAGUAGUGAUCUUACCAUGGUCAGGCUUAUAAAAGGCCGAAUGGGUAAUAUAAAGAAAUGAGCCUCUUUAAUUAGCUCAAGUAGAAGUGAACCUUCUGCUAAAGAUCGUCAAAUUGACGGGAAACCCCUAAAGCAAUCUUAACUAACUUAGUAUGGUAACAUAACUAAGGGCGCAGGUAAUGACUCGCGGUAUAGUAAAAUCAAGAUUGAUUACGAAAGUGAAUGGGCAAUCCGCAGCCAACCAGCAUAAUAGUUUUACAUUAUUAUGGUGUGCAGUUCAUCGACUAGAUGGUGAUCGGCGAAAGCUUAAGAUAUAGUCAAACCUCUAUGGAAACAUAGCAGGAUAAUAUUCUUUUAUGAAAUGGAUAAUAUAGAAACGAAUGAUGUAACAAGUUAUGCUAGUUUAACUGAGGCAGGUAAAGCAUUAGGUGUGACAAGAACUCCAGUAAGUCAAGCAUUGUUGCAUAAUAGACUAAUUAAGAAAAUAUAUUCUAUCAGUAAAAGUAAAUAAAAUUAUAUUAUCCGUUAAAUGGAUAGCAAUAAAAUGCUAUUUAGGGAGAAAAGUCUCAGCUCGGCCUAAAUUAGAAUAAAUGAAAUUCUAUGGCCAAAGAGAUAAUUUGUAUCGUUGUAAAGAUAUCCAAAGAACUGUGGUAAGUUAGUGAAAGACAAUCCUGACUACUAUAGCUGGUUUUCCGCGAAACAUAUGUAAGUAUGUAGUUUAAAGCACAUCAUAGCAGGUACAGAACUGUAAUCUCGGACAAUUUGUGCAUUAUUAUUCUUUUGGUAUUUAUACCUUUUAGUAUUUUAAUGCCUUGUGCAUAUGGGGGGGUCGUGAAGACUCUAUUCGCGAGUAUUUGCUCUCGGAAGGGCAAUGAUGAAUGUUGGACUAUCAGACAUUUAACGAUAAGGUUGUGUGUCAAAAGGGAAACAGCCCAGAACAAGUGUUUAAGGUUCCAAAGUUUUUGUUAAGUGAAAGUAAGGAAGUAUUUAAACUAUACAACCAGGAAAUAGGCUUAGAAGCGGCCAUUUUUUAAAGACCUCGUAACAGAGCACUGGUUCAAAUGGUUAAGUAAUUAACCAAAUUAGUUAAAAGCGCCGAAGAUAUAACGGAUCUAAAACAAAACACCGACACCUUGUCCAUAAUAAUAACAUUAGGUUAAAUUCUAAUGUAAUAUACUUAAAGAUUAUUUAAGUAUUAUUUAUGGGGUAGCGGAACAUUGGGUUAAUCGGAUAGAAAAAAAGACUUUCGAUUAUACUAUCUGGGGGGAAAUAUCUGUAAAAGUCAUAACCCUUGCGGCUGCAGAGGUUGCAUCCGACAAAGGGUUGUAUGUAUAUUAACAUAUGAUCCAAAGGAAGAUAGUUUAAGUUUUCAUUAACUAUAUAUUAGGAGUAUCUUAAUCUAUCCCAAGUGAGAAUGCUGACACGAGUAACGAAAAAGAGGAUGCCCUUACAGGGCCCUCUCGCCUUAAGCUUAUGGGAAAGUUAAUCGGUCUCUAAAUUUAACCUAAAGGAUAAAAUGAUGAGGAAAUUACAUGUGACAACAUAAAAUGGAGUAAAGUGUUCUGGAAAAGCAUGUAGUCUAAGGAUAUAAUUCUAGCUAGUUUAACUGGACAGAAAGAUGCUAGUCUUCCUUAAGAAUAUGAAACCGUACCUAAAAACUACCGCAAGUAAGCUAGUAGAGAAUACGAAGGCGUUUGAGCUAACAAUCAUUAAGGAACUCGGCAAAUUGACACCGUAACUGAGGGAGAAGGUGUGCCAUUCCUGUUGAUUAAUAUCAGUGUAGGAAGAGGAGACAUAAAAUGGUGUUGCACGACUGUUUAAUUAAAACACAGCACUUUGCGUAAGAUGUAAAUCAAUGUAUAGAGUGCGCUAUCUGCCCAAUGAUGGCUGGUUAACGGAUUUACUUAGACGACUAAAAUAGCCUAGGUUUUGAAGGAACCCCCAUUUAAUGGCGGCCUUACCUAUGAGGGUCCUAAGGUAGCGAAAUACCUUGGCAUUUAAAUGAUGUCGCGCAUGAAUGAUCUCACGAUGCAACAGCUGUCUCAAUGAUUGGCUCAGUGAAACUGGAAUGGCAGUGAAGAUACUGCCUAUCUCUAGAUAGACGAGAAGACCCCAUGCAGCUUUACUGUUACUAGUUAUAGGGUAUAAUGUAACAGGUUUUAGGGAAUAAGGUAGUUGAACGACAUAAUUGAAACACCUUUACUCUGGUUGUUAUAUCAGUAGAAUAAGUUACAAUUUGUAACGGACGUCUGAAUGUAAUCCAAAAAAGGAGCAAGAUCGUAGAUCAAACUCAGGAGACAAUGGCUAGCAGAUGGUUUAUGCGGGGCACAGAUCCCAUAAAGAGUACCUGGGAGUAUCCAAAUUUAUUUUUGUAAUAUGCUAUACGCAAAUUAUAUAGGGCUUUAUUUAAUAAUUGCCUUAUAUAUUUUAAUUUUUUAAUUAUUAUAUUUAGUUUGUUAUUUUUUAUAUU
Molecule: ribosomal RNA, 2546 nt
Filed under: Paraphoma sp. B47-9
Lineage: Eukaryota; Fungi; Ascomycota; Dothideomycetes; Pleosporales; Phaeosphaeriaceae
Description: bacterial LSU rRNA
Rfam family: Bacterial large subunit ribosomal RNA (bases 547-2546)
Source: RNAcentral